GGUUAACCCAAGCAGUGCAAAAAUAGGACCGCGUUCAUGUCACUCCCUCAAAGGUUGUAGGUUCACACCUCUUUUCAGGUUUACAUCUGGACUGAGCUGCACAACCUGCUCCCCCUCGAAAUCUAGUCCUCAGCGCACGUCCACAGCCCGACUUAACUUCUCUACAGCUGGAAGAUGAAUUAUCAGCUCUCUGCGCUUUUAUUUGCAGCAGUGUAAUAGUUAAAUCAGUGCCGAAUGCGUGAUUUGAUGUGGUGUGUGGUGCCUAAGCUUGAACAGUCCUCUACAGUGAGAAGAUGGCGUCGGACGGAGCGAAAGGGGAGCAGCCACCUCCGCUACAAACACUGGUAACCACUGGCCAUGGAGCCGUCGAGACGAAAUGCGAGUUGAACAUCGACAACCUGAGCAAACCAGAGCUCCUGACCCUUUUGAGUAUCAUGGAGGGAGAACUUGAGGCCAGAGACCUAGUCAUUGAAGCUCUUAGGUCAUGAUGGGUUAGAGUCAUUGAGACAGACUUCAGGGUAUCCAGAACAAGCAGGCCAUUGUCGAUGUGUAGCCCUUCUGGGGCUGUUUUGUCCUUCCCACUGUCUGAGGAGAUAUGGCGCUGUUCUGAAAUUAGGCUGAGACACAAUCCUUCUAGCAUACAAAUUGCUGUCUGUAGUCCUUGGAGAGCAGAAAGAAGAUGUCAGGCUGCAUUUGGGAUAUAUGCAGCAAAAACAUGGCUUGUGAAUCCCAAAGGGAAGUUGGUUUCUGUGUGUGUGAGUGUUUCACAUCAGAGUAAAGCAGUGCCUUGAGCUUAAUAUGAAUCUGACCCAGAAGUGAGUGUGCAUGUGGGAGUAUGACAGUUCCUCUUCACUUUAUGAGCAGCGCUGUAGUACCAUCUCUAUAUUAUCGUGUCUUGUUACUUUAAUGUCAACUUUAAAUCCUGUCGAUAGGGAUCAAGUUUGUGUCACUGUUUUUCUUUCUGUUUGACAUACCCUGCUGGAUAGUUUUUAUAGACCGCUUGUAAUUAAAAGUGCAGGAUUUCCUCAUUGCCUGAAUUGUUUGUUAUUGAUUUUGUCUCUGACUCUGUCAGUUCUGCUUCACUCAGCAGGGUCUCAUUAAUUCGAUUGGUAGUUUUAAUAGAAAUUUGACAAACGGAACAAUGUCGCUUACUCAGCCACAGGCUUUAUUUUGCUUGAACAGAUGUCAUGAGACUGAUGUUUCUAUCACGUCCUCAUAUUCUCAGAGGUAAACGGAUAUCAAACCCACUGAAGAAACCAGCCAAAUGUGCUGCUACAAGCUACAAACAAAGUCAGAAAUGAACUUUUUUUUGUUAUGACACCUGGCAAUAGAAAAGUGCAGAUGAAUUAAGCAGCCAUAAAUACAGUUAAAAAGCAAUCUUUCUGAACAUAGUUAACAAUACAAUUUUUAAUUACAUAUUACAAAUAAAUGUAUUGUAACACUUUAUUUUAAGGAGCAAUUCUCGCUCGGAACUAGCUUGCAUAUUUCUAGCAUAUUGGCUUUUUAUUAGUACUUAUAAAGCACAUAUUAAUGCCUUAUUCUGCAUGACCAUAUUUUAGAUCCCUUAACCCUUCCCUAUACCGAAACUUAACAACUACCUUACUAACUAUUAAUAAGCAGCAAAUUAUGAGUUUAUGGAAGCAAAAGUCAUAGUUAAUAGUUAGUUAAAGGGUUAGUUCAGCCAAAAAUGAAAAUUAUGUCAUUAAUGACAUCAUCAAAGUAGUCCAUGUGACAUCAGUGGGUCUGUUAGAAUUUGUUGAAGCAUCGAAAAUACAUUUUGGUCCAAAAAUAAUGGACCAAACGCGCUCACAACAGACCCGGAAGAGAAGACAAUCCUGAAUAAAGUCGUAAUUUUUGUUAUUUUUGGACCAAAAUGUAUUUUCGAUGCUUCAACAAAUUCUAACUUACCCUCUGAUGUCACAUGGACUACUUUGAUGAUGUUUUUAUUACCUUUCUGGACAUGGACAGUAUACCGUACAUACUGUACAUUUUCAAUGGAGGUUCAGAAAGCUCUCGGACUAAAUCUAAAAUAUCUUAAACUAUGUUUCGAAGAUGAACGGAGGUCUUACGGGUUUGGAACCACAUGAUAUAGAGACAUAGAUAUAAAUACAUAUACUACCAUUAAAUUUUGUAGUUGGUUUGAUUUAAUAUUUUUUAAAACAAGUCUCUUAUGCUUGCUACGGAUGCAUUUACGUACUUGAUCAAACGUGCAGUAAAAACAGUAAUAUUCUGAAAUAUUACAGUUUAAAAUAACUUUUCAAUUUGAAUAUAAUUUAAAAUGUAAAUUAUUCCUCUGAUGGCAAAGCUGAAUUUUCAGCAUCAUUUCCCAAUCUUCAGUUUCACAUGAUCCUUCAGAAAUCAUUCCAAAAAAAUGCUGAUUUGGUGCAAAAUAAAUAAUUCUUAUUAUUUUCAACAUCGAAACCGCAAUAUUUUUUUCUUGGAUUCUUUGAUUAAUAGAAAGUUCAAAAGAACAGCAUUUAUUUAAAAAAUAUAAAACAUUUGUAACAUUGUAAAUGUCAUUUUAAGGCGACAUUACUGAUUUUUUUUUUUUUUUUUUUUAAUACUUUCAUUUAAAUUAUACAUUUGGUUAAUUUUUGACCUUAGACAGUAAGGGUUAUGCUAAUGUGGAUCAGGUGAUCUGGACGUGAUCAGGGCUCGAAAUUGUACUUUUAUGAGUGGGUACAUGACAGAUGGUGGUUAGUAUUAGGGGUUUCCAGAUGGGGUGGGAUGGUCUAGGGGCCGCUCGGUUGCACAGAUUCUCACUCCCCCUGUGUACCUAGUCCUCCCCCACCCCCCAGCCCCCCAAACAGAAACCCUUAAACCUUUAGUGCCCUAUUUUUCUACCGAAACAAAUAAUAUACAGGCAUAUACCAUAUGCUAUCCCGCGUCAUCGUCAACAUGGAGCCAUUCAAUCUGUCUAGGGAAACUGAAAAUGUUCAAAGCCUGUGAGAGCCUGUAGACUCAGAGCCUGUAAGUCACAAGUCUCUCUGACUCUGAAUAUUGUGUUUCACUCUAAUGUGACUGUCACAAGACUAGAUUUCUUCUCGUUUCCUCUCUUCCUCUCCAUCAGCCUGAUGCCUUUUGAUCUCGCAUUUGGGUUAGAAGAGCUGCGAAAGUACUUGGCCCACAAAGCCAGCUCUGUGUUGAUCUAAUUGAAAGGCCCCUUGUGAGAGUCUUUGGACACACACUCACAUUCAAACGGAAGCGACACAGAAAAAGCACUUUCUCCCACAGAAACAUCUUACUUAUGGGUUAACCUCUUCAAGUCAGUGUAAUGUGCCUGAUGGAAUCUGCUGGAAGAUGACAGCAGAUUUUUGGGUUUGUGGCUCAGAUAGAGACACUCGAAUUGGCCUCAGCUUGGUCAAGUUCAAUGACAGGAAAAGGAAGUGACUUGUUACUUCAUCUUUCAGAAACGAAAAGCCCAGAAAAUGUGAAGUAUUUUUUUAUAGUUUGAAAUUAGUAGAUAACUGUUUUUGCAAAUAUCUGUCAUGGGUUUGUUACGUUGUGGAUUCCAUAGGGGAAAAGUAUAUUGGCUCUUUCUCAUUUUGGUACCCACCAUUGCAGUUAUUCUCUGCCACUCCCCUCAAACCAUCUUUGUCCUCCCCUCUUUCUCUGCUCAUUUUCAGAAUCUCUUCCCCUUUGGCAGUUUUGGACCCCUCACUCAGCCAGCGCGUGCCUGUAAAUGUUAAUGCUAAUAAUACCAGAGACCUGCCUUAACUCCACCAGGAGUCCUGUGUACACAAUUUAAGCUCAACACCUGGCAGAGAGUGUAUGUUAAAUUUCAACACGGUUUCUUGUCUUAUUCAGCCUCUUAAAACCCAGUCAGAUUAGGACACAACUAUACAAAUAAACUUGACUUGACAUUUAAUGGGCAAUAAGUUUUUCCCUGCUUCCUCUCCAGUCCCCCUGGACCAUUUAAGAAAUAAAUAAUAAAGAAAUAAAGCUAUAAAAGUAUGUGAUUGGGCCCUUUUUAAUGUUCUUGUAAUUUUGGAAAGUUACAUUUUGGCCUGAAGUGAGGGCUUUUACCCUGUAGCUGUCAUAGUAGUAAAUGCCUCUGCAGUUAAUAUAAAUUUAUGCCUAAUGUCCUAAAAGAUUGUAAAUUCUUUCUACAGUAUAAUAGAGAGUGACAACUAAAUCAUGGCCUCAUUAUAACUAACUAAAGCUUUAGUAUUAGAUGUGUUUUGUACAAAGCAGCUUUGUUCUGAUUUUCCACAAACAAUAGUUAUAUCAAUCAGACGUAACACUUUGUUGUUUUGUGGCAGGUUUCUUCCACCUUAUCCUCAUCUUUACUCUCGAUACGAUGUAAUGUGUUGAAUGUUGCUCCUGACCCCCAUGAUGGACCGAUAAAGUAGCACAUAAGGAGGAGGAGGGACGGCACAGCCUCUGUGAUUAUAGAAGAGAUUUGUGAAAGCCUAGAGGAAAGUGCCAGAUGGCUGAGAAUCUCAAAGCCCUCCAUUCUCUAUCUGCCAUGACACAGACAUUUCUCCCGCCUCCAGACUCUCUCGCUCUCUCUCUUGCUCUCAGUCUUUCCCUCAACCCCCUCCUCACUUUCUUUUCCUCUAGACUUUGCAAUGUUUACUAGCUGCUUCACAGUUGUCGGUCAGAAUAACAGGAGUAUGUUUUAAUUUCCGUUUUUUUUGUCUUUCUGCUUUGCUCAUGCUGAGCUUCCUGGGUCAUUCCUACUCUAAAGUACAUUUUCAUAUCUUUAUGAAAUAUUAUAUGGGAUAAAAUAUUAACCUUAGGCAUUUUAAAGAUGGAAAUCAUAUUUGUUUUUAUUUAGUUUACAUGCAACAUCGUUUGUAGUGGGAAAACAACAGCAUCAUUAAAUAUUAGCAAUGGAUCUGAUGGAUUAUGUGUUGUUUUUUAACCUCAGUUUUCCACUUAUAUAGCAGACUGCACUCAAAUUGAAAUAAGCCUGGUCCAGCACUGGUCUAUCUGUUCGUGCUAAGUGGACUGAAAGAAACUCACUUAGAGAACUUUUAUGCCCUUGAAAGCUGUGAUACUUAGCAGAAGUAAACUGAUCCUGACACUUGCAAUGAGAGUCAUCCAUCUCAGAGUUUGCAUGUGUGCGUGUGUGUGUGUGUGUGUGUGUGUGUGUGUGUGUGUGUGUGUGUGUGUGUGUGUGUGUGUGUGUUUGUGUUUGUACUGUACAUCUGUAGGCUGGUUAUUUCCUUCUAUGGUUAAGCAAUAGUUGGCCAUUAGCCUCCAGGAUGCUUUGUGCUCUUUGCAUGGUUUCUUCUGCUUCUAGUACACAGACUUAUUUAAAAAGAGACACCCUGUAGAGAGUAAACUUCUAGAUUAUCUCUCCCAUUUGAUCUAUUUGUUCAUUUUACAGCAUUACUUAUCCAGGACAGAGGGGUAGUGUAGAUCAGCCCAGUGGGUUGCCUGACACUGAGCAUGUUUUGUGAGGACAAAGUCACUUAAAAUGUUCUUGUAAUCAUUUCACAUAAUCUGUGCCUUA
Long non-coding RNA from Cyprinus carpio carpio, 5461 nucleotides. Lineage: Eukaryota; Metazoa; Chordata; Actinopteri; Cypriniformes; Cyprinidae. The record is from Ensembl.